CACUUUUGCUGUUAAAAGAUCUCAUGAAGCCUUCCUAGCCCUUGUGAUCAUGGAACUUGUCAUUACCUUCUUAUUCUAUUUACUCUAUCUACUGAAGUUGGAUGCACAGCUAAAAUUCAUGUUUUGGCCUUUGGCUGAUGCUUUCAAUUCCUUGGUGGCAGCACUGUUUCUCCUCAUUGUCGGCUUGUGUGCAACAAUCAUAAAGACCAUUAAGGAAACAUUAAUUGGAGGUGUAUUCUGUUUGAUGCUUUGCGUUCUUUGUAUAAUAGAUGCUACUUUAAUCCUGAGAAAAGUUACUUUUAAUAGGUCAUAGUAGGAAGAGAUGGUAUCCAAAAAUAGAAUGGCCCACUGAGCCAAAUAAAUUAUAUAAAACAGCCA
This 378-nucleotide long non-coding RNA is filed under the name Notechis scutatus (mainland tiger snake). RNAcentral's name for it is "lncRNA (ENSNSUG00000010177.1)". The record is from RNAcentral. Lineage: Eukaryota; Metazoa; Chordata; Lepidosauria; Squamata; Elapidae.